UAGGGAAUCUUCGGCAAUGGACGAAAGUCUGACCGAGCAACGCCGCGUGAGUGAAGAAGGUUUUCGGAUCGUAAAACUCUGUUGGUAGAGAAGAACGUUGGUGAGAGUGGAAAGCUCAUCAAGUGACGGUAACUACCCAGAAAGGGACGGCUAACUACGUGCCAGCAGCCGCGGUAAUACGUAGGUCCCGAGCGUUGUCCGGAUUUAUUGGGCGUAAAGCGAGCGCAGGUGGUUUAUUAAGUCUGGUGUAAAAGGCAGUGGCUCAACCAUUGUAUGCAUUGGAAACUGGUAGACUUGAGUGCAGGGGAGGAGAGUGGAA
This 319-nucleotide ribosomal RNA is filed under the name uncultured bacterium. RNAcentral's name for it is "partial 16S ribosomal RNA". It matches the Rfam family "Bacterial small subunit ribosomal RNA", at positions 355 to 666 of the family's 1533-position model. The record is from RNAcentral.